GAGUUUGAUCAUGGCUCAGGACGAACGCUGGCGGCACGCCUAACACAUGCAAGUCGAACGGAGAUAUUUUGGUUUACUGAGAUAUYUUAGUGGCGGACGGGUGAGUAACACGUGAGCAACCUGCCUYUGAGAGAGGGAUAGCUUYUGGAAACGGAUGGUAAUACCUCAUAACAUAAMGAAGCCGCAUGACUUUGUUAUCAAAGAUUUAUCACUCAGAGAUGGGCUCGCGUYUGAUUAAAUAGUUGGUGAGGUAACGGCUCACCAAGUCGACGAUCAGUAGCCGGACUGAGAGGUUGAACGGCCACAUUGGGACUGAGACACGGCCCAGACUCCUACGGGAGGCAGCAGUGGGGAAUAUUGCACAAUGGGGGAAACCCUGAUGCAGCGAUGCCGCGUGGAGGAAGAAGGUUUUCGGAUUGUAAACUCCUGUCUAAAGGACGAUAAUGA
This 447-nucleotide ribosomal RNA is filed under the name uncultured Bacillota bacterium. RNAcentral describes it as "bacterial SSU rRNA". The record is from RNAcentral. Lineage: Bacteria; Bacillati; Bacillota.